CGCACGACUCUCGACAACGGAUAUCUCGGCUCUCGCAUCGAUGAAGAACGUAGCGAAAUGCGAUACUUGGUGUGAAUUGCAGAAUCCCGUGAACCAUCGAGUCUUUGAACGCAAGUUGCGCCCGAAGCCAGGCUAAGGGCASGUCUGCCUGGGCGUCACGC
Molecule: ribosomal RNA, 161 nt
Filed under: Drosophyllum lusitanicum
Lineage: Eukaryota; Viridiplantae; Streptophyta; Magnoliopsida; Caryophyllales; Drosophyllaceae
Description: 5.8S ribosomal RNA
Source: RNAcentral